This 793-nucleotide ribosomal RNA is filed under the name Kurixalus appendiculatus (Philippine flying frog). RNAcentral's name for it is "partial small subunit ribosomal RNA". It matches the Rfam family "Bacterial large subunit ribosomal RNA", at positions 1450 to 2567 of the family's 2925-position model. Lineage: Eukaryota; Metazoa; Chordata; Amphibia; Anura; Rhacophoridae. The record is from RNAcentral.
CAUGAACCCGCCUAAAUUACUGAAUGAUCUUAUUUUUAUAUAAGACCCAUCAUGCUAGAACUAGUAACAAGAACACAACAUUCUCCUAAAUGUAAGCAUAAACCAAAAUGGAUAUCCCACUGGUAUUUAACGGAUAUGAAUUACCUACAGUAACAAAACAAGAAAAUCCUGUAUAAAUCUACCGUUAACCUAACACUAGAACACUUCAGGAAAGAUUAAAAGAGAAAGAAGGAACUCGGCAAAUCUUAACCUCGCCUGUUUACCAAAAACAUCGCCUCUUGCUUAAUUAUAAGAGGUCAGGCCUGCCCGGUGAUAAAAUUAAACGGCCGCGGUAUCCUAACCGCGCGAAGGUAGCAUAAUCACUUGUUCCUUAAAUAGGGACCUGUAUCAACGGCACAACGAAGGUUAUACUGUCUCCUCUCUCCAAUCAGUGAAACUGAUCUCCCUGUGAAAAAGCAGGAAUAAUUUUAUAAGACGAGAAGACCCCAUGGAGCUUCAAACCCACCGCAACUCAAACACUAAAUCCCAUUUACCCCUUAGAGAUAUGCCCAUCGGUUUUAGGUUGGGGUGACCGAGGAGCAAAACAAAACCUCCUCAACGUAAAGACCUUAAUCUUCAUCCAAGAGCUACUGCUCUAAGAACUAGAACACUAACGCACACUGAUCCGAUAUUCGACCAAUGAACCAAGUUACCCUGGGGAUAACAGCGCAAUCUACUUAGAGAGUUCUUAUCGACAAGUGGGCUUAUGACCUCGAUGUUGGAUCAGGAUAUCCCAGUGGUGCAGCCGCUACUA